Long non-coding RNA from Tupaia belangeri chinensis (Chinese tree shrew), 569 nucleotides. RefSeq lists it as uncharacterized. NCBI's taxonomy places the organism in Eukaryota, Metazoa, Chordata, Mammalia, Scandentia, Tupaiidae. The record is from RefSeq and is a predicted model, not a curated record. The transcript is spliced from 4 exons.
UAUGUGGCUCAGACUUGCUUUAACCUGUGCUCCUUUUCUGGCUUGUUCCUCAUUGUCGUGCCUUGCAGGUCUCAUGACUCAGGGCGUUAUUUGAGUUAGAUGGAUGUCACAACACAGACCGUCACGCAGUCCCAGCUUCCAGUUUCGUUGUGCUCCAGGCUUCCUCUGAAGGCAGAGCAUGAGUCUGUGCUGUGACAUUUGAAGCCCACAGUCCCAGGAAAGCAGGAGGGAGGGUGGGAGCUCCUACAACUGUGCCUUACAGAGCUGACCACUGCGUGGCGGGGAGCUUGUUCUCAGUGACGUCAGCAUCUCCAUAUUCCCGGCUUGCACAUGCAGAGUGCUAGCAAGUCCCUCGUCUCUCACAGAACUGCUUGAAGCCCGUCGGCACUGGGGCUCGGACCAGCAAGGUGGCUGUGUCUGAGGCAGCCCAGAAGGCCCACCCCUGCGCAGCUCUCCAACUGCAGAAAAGCAGUGGAAAUAGUUAACAAGGAUAAGACCGUGUGGAGUGGAGGGGAGAAGAGAAGAGGAUAAAGACAGCAAGAGAACAAAUAGAGAGGCAGGACAUCAGG